GGGGAAUCUUCCGCAAUGGACGAAAGUCUGACGGAGCAACGCCGCGUGAGUGAUGACGGCCUUCGGGUUGUAAAGCUCUGUUAAUCGGGACGAAAGGCCUUCUUGCGAAUAGUUAGAAGGAUUGACGGUACCGGAAUAGAAAGCCACGGCUAACUACGUGCCAGCAGCCGCGGUAAUACGUAGGUGGCAAGCGUUGUCCGGAAUUAUUGGGCGUAAAGCGCGCGCAGGCGGAUCAGUCAGUCUGUCUUAAAAGUUCGGGGCUUAACCCCGUGAUGGGAUGGAAACUGCUGAUCUAGAGUAUCGAAGAGGAAAGUGGAAUUCCUAGUGUAGCGGUGAAAUGCGUAGAUAUUAGGAAGAACACCAGUGGCGAAGGCGACUUUCUGGACGAAAACUGACGCUGAGGCGCGAAAGCCAGGGGAGCGAACGGGAUUAGAUACCCCGGUAGUCCUGGCCGUAAACGAUGGGUACUAGGUGUAGGAGGUAUCGACCCCUUCUGUGCCGGAGUUAACGCAAUAAGUACCCCGCCUGGGGAGUACGACCGCAAGGUUG
This 549-nucleotide ribosomal RNA is filed under the name uncultured bacterium. RNAcentral describes it as "bacterial SSU rRNA". It matches the Rfam family "Bacterial small subunit ribosomal RNA", at positions 356 to 896 of the family's 1533-position model. The record is from RNAcentral.